This 907-nucleotide ribosomal RNA is filed under the name bacterium 'H. scabra 65 (F-M-H)'. Its description in RNAcentral is "bacterial SSU rRNA". It matches the Rfam family "Bacterial small subunit ribosomal RNA", at positions 379 to 1278 of the family's 1533-position model. The record is from RNAcentral.
CAGCCUGAUGCAGCCAUGCCGCGUGUAUGAAGAAGGCCUUCGGGUUGUAAAGUACUUUCAGUCGUGAGGAAGGCGGCGUCGUUAAUAGCGGCGUUGUUUGACGUUAGCGACAGAAGAAGCACCGGCUAACUCCGUGCCAGCAGCCGCGGUAAUACGGAGGGUGCGAGCGUUAAUCGGAAUUACUGGGCGUAAAGCGCAUGCAGGUGGUUUGUUAAGUCAGAUGUGAAAGCCCGGGGCUCAACCUCGGAAUAGCAUUUGAAACUGGCAGACUAGAGUACUGUAGAGGGGGGUAGAAUUUCAGGUGUAGCGGUGAAAUGCGUAGAGAUCUGAAGGAAUACCGGUGGCGAAGGCGGCCCCCUGGACAGAUACUGACACUCAGAUGCGAAAGCGUGGGGAGCAAACAGGAUUAGAUACCCUGGUAGUCCACGCCGUAAACGAUGUCUACUUGGAGGUUGUGGCCUUGAGCCGUGGCUUUCGGAGCUAACGCGUUAAGUAGACCGCCUGGGGAGUACGGUCGCAAGAUUAAAACUCAAAUGAAUUGACGGGGGCCCGCACAAGCGGUGGAGCAUGUGGUUUAAUUCGAUGCAACGCGAAGAACCUUACCUACUCUUGACAUCCAGAGAACUUUCCAGAGAUGGAUUGGUGCCUUCGGGAACUCUGAGACAGGUGCUGCAUGGCUGUCGUCAGCUCGUGUUGUGAAAUGUUGGGUUAAGUCCCGCAACGAGCGCAACCCUUAUCCUUGUUUGCCAGCGAGUAAUGUCGGGAACUCCAGGGAGACUGCCGGUGAUAAACCGGAGGAAGGUGGGGACGACGUCAAGUCAUCAUGGCCCUUACGAGUAGGGCUACACACGUGCUACAAUGGCGCAUACAGAGGGCGGCCAACUUGCGAGAGUGAGCGAAUCCCAAA